AUUGAACGCUGGCGGCAUGCCUUACACAUGCAAGUCGAACGGCAGCACGGGUGCUUGCACCUGGUGGCGAGUGGCGAACGGGUGAGUAAUAUAUCGGAACGUACCUUAUUGUGGGGGAUAACGCAGCGAAAGCUGUGCUAAUACCGCAUAAUCCCUACGGGGGAAAGCGGGGGACCGUAAGGCCUCGCGCAAUUAGAGCGGCCGAUACCUGAUUAGCUAGUUGGUGAGGUGAAGGCUAACCAAGGCAACGAUCAGUAGCUGGUCUGAGAGGACGAUCAGCCACACUGGGACUGAGACACGGCCCAGACUCCUACGGGAGGCAGCAGUGGGGAAUUUUGGACAAUGGGGGCAACCCUGAUCCAGCAAUGCCGCGUGAGUGAAGAAGGCCUUCGGGUUGUAAAGCUCUUUUGUCAGGGAAGAAACAGCAGCUCUAACACAGUUUGCGAAUGACGGUACCUGAAGAAUAAGCACCGGCUAACUACGUGCCAGCAGCCGCAGUAA
Molecule: ribosomal RNA, 501 nt
Filed under: uncultured bacterium
Lineage: Bacteria
Description: partial 16S ribosomal RNA
Rfam family: Bacterial small subunit ribosomal RNA
Source: RNAcentral